GAUGAACGCUAGCGGGAGGCCUAACACAUGCAAGCCGAGCGGUAGAGAUUCUUCGGAAUCUUGAGAGCGGCGUACGGGUGCGGAACACGUGUGCAACCUACCUUUAUCUGGAGGAUAGCCUUUCGAAAGGAAGAUUAAUACUCCAUAAUAUAUUGAUUGGCAUCAAUUGAUAUUGAAAGCUCCGGCGGAUAGAGAUGGGCACGCGCAAGAUUAGUUAGUUGGUGAGGUAACGGCUCACCAAGACGAUGAUCUUUAGGGGCCUGAGAGGGUGAUCCCCCACACUGGUACUGAGACACGGACCAGACUCCUACGGGAGGCAGCAGUGAGGAAUAUUGGUCAAUGGGUGCAAGCCUGAACCAGCCAUCCCGCGUGAAGGACGACUGCCCUAUGGGUUGUAAAACCUUCUUUUGUAUAGGGAUAAACCUACCCUCGUGAGGGUAGCUGAAGGUACUAUACGAAUAAGCACCGGCUAACUCCGUGCCAGCAGCCGCGGUAA
This 496-nucleotide ribosomal RNA is filed under the name uncultured bacterium. Its description in RNAcentral is "bacterial SSU rRNA". It matches the Rfam family "Bacterial small subunit ribosomal RNA", at positions 28 to 523 of the family's 1533-position model. The record is from RNAcentral.